This 377-nucleotide unclassified non-coding RNA is filed under the name Hevea brasiliensis (rubber tree). Lineage: Eukaryota; Viridiplantae; Streptophyta; Magnoliopsida; Malpighiales; Euphorbiaceae. The record is from RNAcentral.
CAUCAAUUUAAUUACUGAUCUUUUACUUGGAUCAAAGUGCACAGAAUCACAUGGUGGAUUUAUUUUAACAAGAUUUCGUAUAUAAAAGAAGUAUACAGAAUCACAAUCAUCCUAAAAUAAAAGAAAAAAUUAAUUACAAGCUUGGAAGAGUUAAAUCUUGAUCGACCGAUGCUAAACCACCCUGACGGUGACGGUAAUAAGCUUGUACACGCAUCAUAACCCAGAAGCUGAGCCAGAAUUCAAGAUAGAAAAGCACAGAACCGAUCAAGUAGAAGAUCCCAAUCAUCAAAUUAUGAUUAUCUAAAUAAACAUCCAUUGCACUCUGGAUGCCAGUGAGAUAUUUUCCCGGAGUAUUUAUUGAAGCAAAUACGCAGAAG